This 487-nucleotide ribosomal RNA is filed under the name Granulicatella sp. canine oral taxon 095. RNAcentral describes it as "bacterial SSU rRNA". It matches the Rfam family "Bacterial small subunit ribosomal RNA", at positions 9 to 474 of the family's 1533-position model. The record is from RNAcentral. Lineage: Bacteria; Bacillati; Bacillota; Bacilli; Lactobacillales; Carnobacteriaceae.
GAGUUUGAUUCUGGCUCAGGACGAACGCUGGCGGCGUGCCUAAUACAUGCAAGUCGAACGAACGGAGAAAGAAGCUUGCUUUUUUCAACUGUUAGUGGCGAACGGGUGAGUAACACGUGGGUAACCUGCCCAUCAGAGGGGGAUAACAUUCGGAAACGGAUGCUAAAACCGCAUAGGUUCCUUAGUUGCAUGACUGAGGAAGGAAAAGAGGCGUAAGCUUCUGCUGGUGGAUGGACCCGCGGUGCAUUAGCUAGUUGGUGAGGUAACGGCUCACCAAGGCGAUGAUGCAUAGCCGACCUGAGAGGGUGAUCGGCCACAUUGGGACUGAGACACGGCCCAAACUCCUACGGGAGGCAGCAGUAGGGAAUCUUCCGCAAUGGACGCAAGUCUGACGGAGCAACGCCGCGUGAGUGAAGAAGGUUUUCGGAUCGUAAAACUCUGUUGUUAGAGAAGAAUAAGCAUAAUAGUAACUGAUUAUGCCGUGACG